This 1544-nucleotide long non-coding RNA is filed under the name Callithrix jacchus (white-tufted-ear marmoset). Its description in RNAcentral is "lncRNA (ENSCJAG00000082959.1)". The record is from RNAcentral. Lineage: Eukaryota; Metazoa; Chordata; Mammalia; Primates; Cebidae.
CCCCAAAUGCCAUUUGAAAAUUUUACUCCAAAUGCUAGAUAAAUUACAUUGACUUUUUCCAAAACUGCAUUCUAUAGUCCCUUAACAAAAUUUCCAUGGAAAAGGUAUGUUCGUGAUAAUGUAUGUUUGGUCAAGGCUGGCUUAAAGUAAGCUAAACAGGAAUUUUCUCUUUCUGUAAUGAUGAACUUGGAAACUGGAACCAAUGUUUCUUGCUAAAAAUAGAAGAUCUGGGAAAAUAUUAACAGUAGUGUUUGAACUAACAAUACAGUGAGGAAUUAUGGAGAAUAAAAUUUAGGAGAGGAAGCAAACCCACAGAAGUAAGCUGGGCAUUUAGAAUUCCUUUUUCACAACAGGUGUCUAUGCAUUUGGAAGAGGCAUUUGAGGCAUUAAGAAGCUGAACAGCAUUGUUAAGUCACAAGGGAGUGAAGGAGCAAACAUCACAGUUGAUGCUUCUGAAAAAAACAGUUUCUCUACAUUCAUACAACACUUCUCAUAUCACGUGUGGAGGUUUUUCCCACACCAGCAGCUCCUCUGAUACCAGCUAGGUGUCUGACAAUUUAAGUCAUUUCUGACACUGUCUACUUAGAGUUAGCAUUACAUCCCAUGAGUUAAGUGCUCAGUCCCAUAAAACUACCUCCCGACUCCAGAUGUCAAUUGCAAGUCCAGACCUCUCCUACUACUAAGCAAUCAGCUACAAGAUGUAUGAGUCCCAUGACUCCUUCUUAAGGUUUAAUAAUUUGCUAGAAUGGCUCAUCGAACUCAGGGACACAGUGUAUUUACAUUUACUGGCGUAUGAUAAAGGAUAUAACUCAGGAACACUCAGAUGGAGGAGAUGCAGAGGACUCUAAAAUUGGAUUGUGACUAGUGUCCUGAACUACUCACUGGACAUGGUAUACAUCUUUGUGGAGGAAAUGAGCACCUAUGGCCACAAAUUAUGUCUACAAAGUUUGGGGGCACGAUUCUUAACUGUUAAUAAUAAUAAUAAAAACCAAGUAGAGAAAAAGCCUGGACAUUAAAAUGAAAACCAAGAGAAACAACCGAUAUAAGAAAUAGACCCAUAAGGGAACCUGGAAAGGAAGUACCAGAUACUGAGCUAUAACUAUAAUUAUUAGUUAAAGAAAUAAAACAUUAAGAUCGAGCAUUUUUGACAAAGAAAUGAAAACCAUAAGAAAGAAUUGAAUGAAACCUUAAAAAUACAAUGAUCAAUAUUAAAAACACAAUGGAUGAAGUCAGAAAUAGAUUAAACACAACUGAAAAGAGAACCAGAACUUUGGAAAAUUGGUCAGAAGAAAAUAUCCACAAUGAAAUGUAGAGUGCCAAGAGGAAUGAAAUGCAAAAGAGAUACUAAGAGAUAUAAAACAAGCACUGAUAAUUAUAUGAAACUGGAGUCCCAGAGAAAGAAAAAGGACAGCAUGGAGUAGAAGCACUAUUUGGAAAGAUCCUCUGAGAAUGUCAUAGGACUAAUAAAAGAUAUCAAGCCAUAAAUCCAUAAGCCCUAAAAAUAAAUAAAAGUAACAGCAGAAUAAAUAAAAAUGAAAUCACAC